Molecule: ribosomal RNA, 720 nt
Filed under: uncultured bacterium
Lineage: Bacteria
Description: bacterial SSU rRNA
Rfam family: Bacterial small subunit ribosomal RNA
Source: RNAcentral
AGGUUUUCGGAUCGUAAAACUCUGUUGUUAGAGAAGAACAAGUACGAGAGUAACUGCUCGUACCUUGACGGUACCUAACCAGAAAGCCACGGCUAACUACGUGCCAGCAGCCGCGGUAAUACGUAGGUGGCAAGCGUUAUCCGGAAUUAUUGGGCGUAAAGCGCGCGCAGGCGGUCUCUUAAGUCUGAUGUGAAAGCCCACGGCUCAACCGUGGAGGGUCAUUGGAAACUGGGAGACUUGAGUGCAGGAGAGAAAAGUGGAAUUCCACGUGUAGCGGUGAAAUGCGUAGAGAUGUGGAGGAACACCAGUGGCGAAGGCGGCUUUUUGGCCUGUAACUGACGCUGAGGCGCGAAAGCGUGGGGAGCAAACAGGAUUAGAUACCCUGGUAGUCCACGCCGUAAACGAUGAGUGCUAGGUGUUGGGGGGUUCCACCCUCAGUGCUGAAGUUAACACAUUAAGCACUCCGCCUGGGGAGUACGACCGCAAGGUUGAAACUCAAAGGAAUUGACGGGGGCCCGCACAAGCAGUGGAGCAUGUGGUUUAAUUCGAAGCAACGCGAAGAACCUUACCAGGUCUUGACAUCCUCUGACCACUCUAGAGAUAGAGCUUUCCCCUUCGGGGGACAGAGUGACAGGUGGUGCAUGGKUGUCGUCAGCUCGUGUCGUGAGAUGUUGGGUUAAGUCCCGCAACGAGCGCAACCCUUGACCUUWGUUGCCAGCA